RNAcentral lists this ribosomal RNA (443 nucleotides) under uncultured bacterium. RNAcentral describes it as "partial 16S ribosomal RNA". It matches the Rfam family "Bacterial small subunit ribosomal RNA", at positions 338 to 795 of the family's 1533-position model. The record is from RNAcentral.
CCUACGGGUGGCAGCAGUGGGGAAUAUUGGGCAAUGGGCGCAAGCCUGACCCAGCAACGCCGCGUGAAGGAAGAAGGCUUUCGGGUUGUAAGCUUCUUUUCUCAGGGACGAAGCAAGUGACGGUACCUGAGGAAUAAGCCACGGCUAACUACGUGCCAGCAGCCGCGGUAAUACGUAGGUGGCAAGCGUUAUCCGGAUUUACUGGGUGUAAAGGGCUUGUAGGCGGGACUGCAAGUCAGAUGUGAAAACCACGGGCUCAACCUGUGGCCUGCAUUUGAAACUGUAGUUCUUGAGUACUGGAGAGGCAGACGGAAUUCCUAGUGUAGCGGUGAAAUGCGUAGAUAUAAGGAAGAACACCAGUGGCGAAGGCGGAUGACUGGACGGCAACUGACGGUGAGGCGCGAAAGCGUGGGGAGCAAACAGGAUUAGAUACCCCUGUAGUC